GGGCAAUUGAUAAGAAUGCCUGGACAUAUAAAUACACGCAACUCCGCUUCAUAACUUUUCGAAAAUACGGUUCAUUUGUGAUGUGCAGAAUGAAGAAUUUGUUUGCUAUCUUACCGAUACUCUUGGUUUUAUUUAGCAUUGUGAAAGGUGAUUCAAUUGAAGAUGAAUUUGAUGCACUACGACAAAAGGUGAUGACCGAGAUCAACGGAAUAAAACAAGCAUUAAAAAAAGUUUCAAAUGAUCGAUUAGAACUGGCUCGCAAUAUGCAAUUUGCUUGUAACUCUAAAGAGUUUUAUCGGAAGAUGAAGCACAACAUGAGAAAUUUAAUGGGUAGAUUUGCUAACAUCUCUGUGGAAAGGAAUUUAAUAGAUCAAUUACGAACGAAUGAAGUUGCAGAGGGAAAGGCUACAACACUGAAUGGUGGAAAACUUGAAGUGGCCAAUUACAUUGAUGCAGCUGGGCAAGUCCGAUCUCUUCAUAGUUUGCUCGACGCCAUAGAAACGGAAAUGUGGAAGCAAAGAUUUAACCGUCAGAUCACGGAACGAAAAGUUCAUAAACUGAAAAAGAAAAUGGAUUCGAGUAGAAUCCAUUUGAUACUGGAUCGAUUGGCGGCUGUUGGGAUGGACAAUAAUGCUGGCAUUAUUGUACCCACAUAACUGUAAAUUGGAGUGUACAGAAAUACUUACUUACAGAUUGAACACCAUUAAAUUGGUCAAUACAGUGUAUGAACACGAUAAUAACUAACAACUAUGUGUACUCCAUUGACACAAAUUUCAGGUAUUCGGAACAAUGCUUCAAGACUAAAUACUCACACAUUUUAGUCUCGGUCGUAACUAUCCUGAAAUGUGGACACGGACUGUUUAAGUAAUUAUUUAUCUUGAAGCUAGAUUCUCUGGAAAUAUGCAAUGGUAGCUAGCUGGGAGAGUUUAUUAACCAUUAAUUAAGGCAAUAUUAUGUUCUCGGUAUCACUACUCUGAUUAAAAUUUGAUCUUUAUUUCA
This is a long non-coding RNA of Patella vulgata (common limpet), 999 nucleotides long. RefSeq lists it as uncharacterized. The transcript has 3 exons. The record is from RefSeq and is a predicted model, not a curated record. NCBI's taxonomy places the organism in Eukaryota, Metazoa, Mollusca, Gastropoda, Patellidae.